UGAUCUAGAGUNUCGGAGAGGAAAGUGGAAUUCCUAGUGUAGCGGUGAAAUGCGUAGAUAUUAGGAAGAACACCAGUGGCGAAGGCGACUUUCUGGACGAAAACUGACGCUGAGGCGCGAAAGCCAGGGGAGCGAACGGGAUUAGAUACCCCGGUAGUCCUGGCCGUAAACGAUGGGUACUAGGUGUAGGAGGUAUCGACCCCUUCUGUGCCGGAGUUAACGCAAUAAGUACCCCGCCUGGGGAGUACGACCGCAAGGUUGAAACUCAAAGGAAUUGACGGGGGCCCGCACAAGCGGUGGAGUAUGUGGUUUAAUUCGACGCAACGCGAAGAACCUUACCAGGUCUUGACAUUGAUGGACAGAACCAGAGAUGGUUCCUCUUCUUCGGAAGCCAGAAAACAGGUGGUGCACGGUUGUCGUCAGCUCGUGUCGUGAGAUGUUGGGUUANNNNNNNNNNNNGAGCGCAACCCCUAUCUUAUGUUGCCAGCACUUUGGGUGGGGACUCAUGAGAGACUGCCGCAGACAAUGCGGAGGAAGGCGGGGAUGACGUCAAAUCAUCAUGCCCCUUAUGACCUGGGCUACACACGUACUACAAUGGGAGUUAAUAGACGGAAGCGAGAUCGCGAGAUGGAGCAAACCCGAGAAACACUCUCUCAGUUCGGAUCGUAGGCUGCAACUCGCCUACGUGAAGUCGGAAUCGCUAGUAAUCGCAGGUCAGCAUACUGCGGUGAAUACGUUCCCGGGCCU
RNAcentral lists this ribosomal RNA (747 nucleotides) under uncultured bacterium. Its description in RNAcentral is "bacterial SSU rRNA". It matches the Rfam family "Bacterial small subunit ribosomal RNA", at positions 637 to 1381 of the family's 1533-position model. The record is from RNAcentral.